RNAcentral lists this unclassified non-coding RNA (342 nucleotides) under soil metagenome. RNAcentral describes it as "partial contains 5.8S ribosomal RNA, internal transcribed spacer 2, and large subunit ribosomal RNA". The stretch from base 1 to 120 matches the Rfam family "5.8S ribosomal RNA", at positions 35 to 154 of the family's 154-position model. The record is from RNAcentral.
GAUGAAGAACGCAGCGUAAUGCGAUAAGUAAUGUGAAUUGCAGAAUUCAGUGAAUCAUCGAAUCUUUGAACGCACAUUGCGCCCGCCAGCACUCUGGCGGGCAUGCCUGUUCGAGCGUCAUUUCAACCAUCAAGCCCCCAGGGGCUUGUGUUGGGGCCCUGCGGCUGCCCGCAGGCCCUGAAAACCAGUGGCGGGCUCGCUAGUCACACCGAGCGCAGUAGCACAUCUCGCUCAGGGCGUGCGGCGGGCUCCUGCCGUGAAACCCCCCACUGUAACCCCAAAGGUUGACCUCGGAUCAGGUAGGAAUACCCGCUGAACUUAAGCAUAUCAAUAAGCGGAGGA